RNAcentral lists this ribosomal RNA (440 nucleotides) under uncultured bacterium. Its description in RNAcentral is "partial 16S ribosomal RNA". It matches the Rfam family "Bacterial small subunit ribosomal RNA", at positions 338 to 795 of the family's 1533-position model. The record is from RNAcentral.
CCUACGGGAGGCAGCAGUGGGGGAUAUUUCACAAUGGGGGGAACCCUGAUGCAGCGACGCCGCGUGGGUGAAGAAGCGCCUCGGCGCGUAAAGCGCUGUCAUCAGGGAAGAAAAUGACGGUACCUUAAGAAGAAGCCCCGGCUAACUACGUGCCAGCAGCCGCGGUAAUACGUAGGGGGCAAGCGUUAUCCGGAUUUACUGGGUGUAAAGGGGGCGCUGAGGGAAAUGGAAGGAAGGAGUGAAAGGCCGGGGCCAAACCCAGGGACUGCUGUUGGAACUGCGUUGCUCGAGUGCAGGAGGGGCAGGUGGAAUUCCUGGUGUAGGGGUGAAAUGCGUAGAUAUCAGGAGGAACACCGGUGGCGAAGGCAGGCUGCUGGACCGCAACUGACGUUGAGGCACGAAAGCGUGGGGAGCAAACAGGAUUAGAUACCCGGGUAGUC